This 1115-nucleotide long non-coding RNA is filed under the name Ananas comosus (pineapple). RNAcentral's name for it is "long non-coding RNA (ACOM_LNC009831)". Lineage: Eukaryota; Viridiplantae; Streptophyta; Magnoliopsida; Poales; Bromeliaceae. The record is from RNAcentral.
CUUAUAUUUUUUGAGGGAAAUUGCUGGAGAUAAAAUGAGACGAUACAGAAUUAAAAAAGUCAUUAAAAUAAGACUGUGCAAUAUAUUAUUUGUUAGAUAGAUUCUAAUUAGCUAGUUGAUCAGUUUGCAUAGUAUUUUUAAAGAAGCGAGAAUUCCAUAUAAAAGAGAAGGCUUGACAUUUGUCAACGAAGGAUUGAAGCAUUUUGAACUUCGUUCUAGCAGCUCGAGUGAUCGAUUCGAACUGAUCAGACCUGAAUUGGAUCGCUUUAAUAAUCAAUGCUGAGUUGAAGAAUAUCCGAAUUUAUUUUUCUGAAUCAGUCAGACCUGAAGUGGGUCACUUUAUUAAUCAAUCGCUUUAAUAAUCAAUCACUUAUCUUUCCACUGGGAUUCAUAUUUGAAAGUUUCUGGGCCUAGAUUAGGCCCACGCAAAUAAUCCAAAAAUGCGACAUGUCUAAUAGAAGUCCAUAUUUGCAUGUCUUUCUCAUAAAAGUUUUUAAUCCCUUUCUAAUCCGUAGCAUUAACUAAUUUUAAAAAACACACAAAAAAUGAAAAAAAAUGUUCGAAUUAAAGACCUAGUGGCAAAAUAAAAGAAAUGUAACGACCCAGAGAAAUGUAACGACCCAGCUUACUAGCAAUAAUAAUUCUUUGAGCUAAAACCACCGGCCCAAAAUGCAUAAGCUCAGUUAUUAUGUCUAGUAUGAUUAAGCUAUCUAAUCAUAAUUACCCGAUGUGGGAUUACUGGAAUAUCACAUACUCCUCGUUUAGGCCUAACGUCCUCGUCAGUUCUAAACACACACAGCCCAAGAUUACCCGGCGAUAUGAGACUUGUCUCAUUAGUCUUGUCAUUCCGACCCUAACUUAAUUUGUCAUUCAUCAAUCCUGGCUUAACAAAGACUCAUCUCACACUUUCGGCUGGUGAACUGGCUCUGAUACCAAAUUAACAAUCUGACCUGCUAACAAUAAUAGCUCGUUAGGCCCAAAUCAAUAGCCCAAAAUGCUAAAGCCUAAUUAUUACGUCUAGCCUAAUCAAACUUAUGUAUCUCCAUAUCUAACAAUAACUACCCAAUGUAGGAUUAUUGGGGUAUCACAACUUCACAAGAAGGGCAUUUGGGCUA